UGGGGAAUUUUGGACAAUGGGGGAAACCCUGAUCCAGCCAUCCCGCGUGUGCGAUGAAGGCCUUCGGGUUGUAAAGCACUUUUGUCAGGAAAGAAACGUCAUGGGUUAAUACCCCGUGAAACUGACGGUACCUGCAGAAUAAGCACCGGCUAACUACGUGCCAGCAGCCGCGGUAAUACGUAGGGUGCAAGCGUUAAUCGGAAUUACUGGGCGUAAAGCGUGCGCAGGCGGUUCGGAAAGAAAGAUGUGAAAUCCCAGAGCUCAACUUUGGAACUGCAUUCUUAACUACCGGGCUAGAGUGUGUCAGAGGGGAGUGGAAUUCCGCGUGUAGCAGUGAAAUGCGUAGAUAUGCGGAGGAACACCGAUGGCGAAGGCAGCCUCCUGGGAUAACACUGACGCUCAUGCACGAAAGCGUGGGGAGCAAACAGG
Molecule: ribosomal RNA, 429 nt
Filed under: Acidobacteriota bacterium
Lineage: Bacteria; Pseudomonadati; Acidobacteriota
Description: Acidobacteria bacterium partial 16S ribosomal RNA
Rfam family: Bacterial small subunit ribosomal RNA
Source: RNAcentral